CGCCCGGGGGACGCCUCCCCGGAACCUGCUGCUCCGCCCGUUCGCGACCCUCCCCGGCCCGGUCCGCGCCGCGCUCCGCCAGCCUCCGGGGGUCGUUCCCCCAGCGGGCCCUUCUUGCCCAGCCUGGGGACGCCCGGGGUUCUCGCCCUCCGAUCUGAGCUGCCCACACGCCAGUGCCCCUCGCGCCGUAGAUUUGCGUUUUAGAAAGAUCGUUCGGGCUCCUGCGAAGAGGAGGGGCUGUAGGGGGCUGACACCGGAGACGAGGACAGAAGUUCUGAGGCUACCGCAAUGGCCCGGGUGCCUGCUGGACAGGGCCCAGGAGAGAAGUAGCCGGGAACCACAGACCGUGGAGUCCUGAGAAUGUAGUGGAAGCUGCCGCCUUGAGGACGGUAAGAUUAUCCAGCCAACCUGCCCCACCUCUGAACUGAUUGAGACAGAUGUCAAGGCCGGAAUUCGACAAAGCCCUUUCUCUCUCUAGCAGUAUAUUUGGGCAGCAUGUGGUCUGGUAUACCCUGCAGGCUUCACCAAUUCCUUUUGCUAUUGCAUUCCCGCCUGUGCAAUCAGUAUGUUCAACAUGUUCAUCCAAGCGUUGCACUUGGAUGAAUUGGACGGACCUACAGUUGCUCUUUAAAGUGAUCACCUAUAUAUAUGCGUAUUCGUUCCAGUAUUGAGUGACUUCUAUGUUUUGGGUCUCAUAAUUUCUCCUUUGGAUUACUCUAAUAACCUUUCUCACACUUAUUGCUUGAUUCCUUAAAACUCAUGGUCGGUGGGAUUAGGGAUAACUUGCUAACUUUUCAUUUUUCUUCACGGGUGUAAUUAAAACUACGAAAAAUA
Molecule: long non-coding RNA, 834 nt
Organism: Leptonychotes weddellii (Weddell seal)
Lineage: Eukaryota; Metazoa; Chordata; Mammalia; Carnivora; Phocidae
Source: RefSeq, a predicted model, not a curated record